This 1330-nucleotide ribosomal RNA is filed under the name Acinetobacter sp. Its description in RNAcentral is "bacterial SSU rRNA". It matches the Rfam family "Bacterial small subunit ribosomal RNA", at positions 56 to 1382 of the family's 1533-position model. Lineage: Bacteria; Pseudomonadati; Pseudomonadota; Gammaproteobacteria; Moraxellales; Moraxellaceae. The record is from RNAcentral.
UGCAGUCGAGCGGGGUGAUGGUGCUUGCGCUAUCACUUAUGGGCGGACGGGUGAGAAUGCUUAGGAAUCUGCCUAUGACUGGGGGACAACAUCUCCUAAGGGAUGCUGAUACCGCAUACGUCCUACGGGAGAAAGCAGGGGAUCACUUGUGACCUUGCUCUAAUAGAUGAACCUAAGUCGGAUUAACUAGUUGGUGGGGUAAAGGCCUACCCAGGCGACCAUCUGUACCGGGUCUGAGAGGAUGAUCCACCACACUGGGACUGAGACACAGCCCAGACUCCUACCGGAGGCAGCAGUGGGGAAUAUUGGACAAUGGGGGGAACCCUGAUCCAUCCAUGCCGCGUGUGUGAAGAAGGCCUUAUGGUUGUAAAGCACUUUAAGCGAGGAGGAGGCUCUUUUGGUUAAUACCCAAAAUGAGUGAACGUUACUCGCAGAAUAAGAACCGGCUAACUCUGUGCCAGCAGCCGCGGUAAUACAGAGGGGGCAAGCUUAAUCAGAUUUACUGGGGUAAAGCACACGUAGGCGGCCAAUUAAGUCAAAUGUGAAAUCCCCGAGACUUAACUUGGGAAUUGCAUUCGAUACUGGCUGGCUAGAGUGUGGAAGAGGAUGGUAGAAUUCCAGGUGUAGCGGUGAAAUGCGUAGAGAUCUGGAGGAAUACCGAUGGCGAAGGCGGCCAUCUGGCCUAACACUGACGCUGAGGUGCGAAAGCAUGGGGAGCAAACAGGAUUAGAUACCCUGGUAGUCCAUGCCGUAAACGAUGUCUACUAGCCGUUGGUGCCUUUGAGGCUUUAGUGGCGCAGCUAACGCGAUAAGUAGACCGCCUGGGGAGUACGGUCGCAAGAUUAAAACUCAAAUGAAUUGACGGGGGCCCGCACAAGCGGUGGAGCAUGUGGUUUAAUUCGAUGCAACGCGAAGAACCUUACCUGGCCUUGACAUAGUAGGAACUUUCCAGAGAUGGAUUGGUGCCUUCGGGAAUUUACAUACAGGUGCUGCAUGGCUGUCGUCAGCUCGUGUCGUGAGAUGUUGGGUUAAGUCCCGCAACGAGCGCAACCCUUUUCCUUACUUGCCAGCAUUUCGGAUGGGAACUUUAAGGAUACUGCCAGUGACAAACUGGAGGAAGGCGGGGACGACGUCAAGUCAUCAUGGCCCUUACGGCCAGGGCUACACACGUGCUACAAUGGUCGGUACAAAGGGUUGCUACCUCGCGAUAGCAUGCUAAUCUCAAAAAGCCGAUCGUAGUCCGGAUUGGAGUCUGCAACUCGACUCCAUGAAGUCGGAAUCGCUAGUAAUCGCGGAUCAGAAUGCCGCGGUGAAUACGUUCCCGGGCCUU